Molecule: ribosomal RNA, 1524 nt
Filed under: Haliotis tuberculata ssp. AVW-2009
Lineage: Eukaryota; Metazoa; Mollusca; Gastropoda; Lepetellida; Haliotidae
Description: 16S ribosomal RNA
Rfam family: Bacterial large subunit ribosomal RNA
Source: RNAcentral
UAGUGAAUAAAUUGCUUUGUUACUGGGUGAGUGCCAGGAUUGAAAAUGAAAGGUGCUUAUAAGUGAUGAAAUUGAAUUUUCAUAGUUGAUUAAAUUAAAGGAUUGGCGAAUUUUCUGUUUGUGCUAGUAGGUGUAGAGAGAAGACUUUGUUAUUGAAGCUAGAGUGAAGAAGUACCGUGAGGGAAAAUAAGUUUGUGUUUAAUGUUUUUUUUAGUAGGGGGUAAAUCCUGUACCUUUUGCAUCAUGGUUCUUUAAGAGGUUUUUUAAAUAAAGUUGGCCCGAAAGGAAACGAGCUAUUUUUGGGCCUGCGUCAUCGUUGUAAAGAUGUGCUGAGACUUAAAGAUAGGAGUGAUAUUCUUUUCGCGUUUUCUGAUAGCUGGUUAGUUGGGAAAGGCAUUAGAGUGCUGGCCUAAAUUUAUAAUUCUUGCUAGUAAGGUGCUUUGUUGUGCGUGAGUAUUUGGCAUUGGAUUUGUUAAAGUUAGGGCUUGCGUAAAAAAGGAUUAGCUUUUUUAUGUUGUUAAAAAAUGUGAAGUUUAUAGUUUUAAAAAUAAUUUAGUAGGCUUGGAGUUGGCCAUCUUUAAAGUUUGUUUUAAAAUAUUUAUUUGUUUGACUAAAAAUUCAUAGAUGUGUUUUUAAGUAAUUUGGUUGUACCAACUCUGCUAAUAUAAUUAGGAUUAUUUGUGGGAUAAUGAGGAAAUGAGUAUUUAUUACUGGUUUGGUUUGUCUUUAUUAAUUAAAGUAAGUAGACUGGGUUUAACUUAUGUAUUUGUAAAUAAUAUAAAUCUAGAAAAGGAACUCGGCAAAUGUCGGCCUCGCCUGUUUAGCAAAAACAUGGCUCCUUGAUUAAUAAGUGGAUAAGGAGUCGGACCUGCCCGGUGACCUACGGGUUAAACGGCCGCGGUACACUGACCGUGCAAAGGUAGCACAAUCACUUGCCUUUUAAUUGGAGGCUGGUAUGAAUGGUUUGACGAGAGCUAAGCUGUCUCUUCUGGAAUAUUUAAAAAUUAACUUCUAGGUGAAAAGGCUUAGAUUUAACUGAGGGAUAACAAGACCCUGUUGAGCUUUAGUGUGGGGUAAAGGCCUGUAUUUCUAGUUUUGUAGAAGGUCAAAGUUUAUUUUUACAUCUUUAGUUGGGGUGACUGGGGAACAUAAAUAGCUUCUCUGUUAAUUUAUUUAAUUGAAUUUGGCUAACUGGCUAAUGAUCCAGCAAUGUUGAUUAUCGGAAAAAGUUACCACAGGGAUAACAGCGUAAUCUUUCUGGAGAGUUCACAUUGAAAGAAGGGUUUGCGACCUCGAUGUUGGAUUAAGGUGUCCUGAGGGUGUAGCAGCUUUCAUUGGUUGGUCUGUUCGACCAUUAAAACCUUACAUGAUCUGAGUUCAGACCGGCGUAAGCCAGGUUGGUUUCUAUCUUCAGUUUAUGGUGUUUCUUUGACUAGUACGAAAGGACCGUUUUAAGACAAAUAUUUUAGUUUGUUAAGACUGAAUUUAUCUAAGUUCGGAUUGUUAGGGAUAAAAUUAAUAUUA